UUAUCAUUAAUUGGCAGUAAAAAUUUAGUUGAUACAAUUAAAAAUAUUUUGCUCUUAAUGCAGAAUGAAUGGUCUAAAGAAGAAAAAAAAGUUUAAAAAGUUGACAAGUCAAUGUAUCGCUAUCACUGAUGCUGCUUCAAAUUCAAAUGAAAGCUUUACCAAAAUGGAUCUCAUGCAACUUCCCAGUGGGCAUUUCGACGUCGAACGAACGUCGAACGACGUCGGAUCUUGACGUCGGAUCAAGGUUGGGUUUACGUUGGAAAUGGAAAUGUUAUUUGACGUCGGAUAAACUGACAUCGCGCGACGUCGGCAUUCCGAUGUAAAUCCAACGUGUUUUUUGAAAACUAAAAAACGUUGCCUUUGGCAGGAAUCGAACCUCGGUCUAUUAGAAACUAUAUCCUACGCGCUUACCACUACACCUCAGGGACAUAUUGUUUAAUGUGUUUAUUUAGUAAUUUAUACUUGUAGCUA
This is a non-coding RNA of Hydra vulgaris (swiftwater hydra), 471 nucleotides long. The record is from RefSeq and is a predicted model, not a curated record. NCBI's taxonomy places the organism in Eukaryota, Metazoa, Cnidaria, Hydrozoa, Anthoathecata, Hydridae.